CUACGUCGGUCUGGGAGCUGGUUACGACGGCAUCAAUACGACUCCUGUGGGCCUGGAGGACGUGUCCAAGUAUCCUGAGCUGUUCGCCGAGCUACUGAAGGAUCCCUCCUGGUCUCUACAGGAUCUGAAGAAGCUGGCGGGCCUUAACCUCCUACGAGUCCUGAGGAGGGUGGAGCAGGUGCGGGAGGAGUUAGCGGGAGAGAAACCAUCAGAGGAGAUUAUUCCCAUCCACGACAUCGACACCCGCUGGCCCUGCAGGUACAAGUUCUCCAGCCUCGACCACGCCCGAACUUGACCUCCCGCGCCCACCACCACCACCACCACUAAGCCUCUUUCUACGCUUUCAUCUACGCCCUAAAGCCAAAGUUUAAGUCCAGCGUCUCUUCCCUCCCCUUCAGGUCCUGCGUCAGCCUGUAAGACACACAUCAACUUGGUACACAGGUAAAGAAUGUAGUGAUAUGACCCAGACACUUGAGGUGGUGAUUGGAGGUCAGAUUACGGGGUUAAGUCAGUGAAGUCACCUUGUUUGACCUCUUUUUUUUUUACGGCAUAUUGACCAGAGUAGGAAAAUGUGUUGGUGAUACAGGUUAGGAUAUAUUUGUGACCUUUGUUUGACCUCUCUCACGGUGAUAGUGGUAUAGGUAUACGUCUCACUGGAUCACCUGAAGAUUAUAGACACCCGAGGUUAUUUCACCUUAUGAUUCAAUAUCCUAACGCUAACCUAACCGAACCUAAGCAAAACAAACCCA
Molecule: long non-coding RNA, 749 nt
Filed under: Homarus americanus (American lobster)
Lineage: Eukaryota; Metazoa; Arthropoda; Malacostraca; Decapoda; Nephropidae
Description: uncharacterized LOC121866034
Source: RNAcentral